RNAcentral lists this ribosomal RNA (253 nucleotides) under uncultured bacterium. Its description in RNAcentral is "partial 16S ribosomal RNA". It matches the Rfam family "Archaeal small subunit ribosomal RNA", at positions 474 to 727 of the family's 1478-position model. The record is from RNAcentral.
UCCCAGCGGUCCAAGUCGCAACCACAAUUAUUGGGUCUAAAACAUCCGUAGCUUGCUAGAUAAGUCUCUUGUGAAAUCCGGCCUCUUAAGGGUCGAAGAGCAAGAGAUACUGUUUGGCUAGAGACCGGGAGAGGUAAGAAGUACGGUCGGGGUACCGGUAAAAUGGGUUGAUCCUGUCUGGACUAACAACAGCGAAGGCAUCUUACCAGCACGGAUCUGACAGUAAGGGAUGAAGGCUAGGGGCGCAAAAGGG